Molecule: transfer RNA, 76 nt
Filed under: Algoriphagus sp.
Lineage: Bacteria; Pseudomonadati; Bacteroidota; Cytophagia; Cytophagales; Cyclobacteriaceae
Also listed under: 1 other name
Description: tRNA-His
Rfam family: tRNA
About the family: Transfer RNA (tRNA) molecules are approximately 80 nucleotides in length.
Source: RNAcentral
GGUGAUUGUAGCUCAGUUGGUUAGAGCGCUGGUUUGUGGCACCAGAGGUCGCCGGUUCGAGCCCGGUCUUUCACCC